UACUGUUAAUGAUGACAUUGUGAAAGACAAUGGGAAUCUCUCUGAAGAGUAGUGAAGAUAAAUUUUUACUGAGACAGUA
Molecule: small nucleolar RNA, 79 nt
Organism: Candoia aspera
Lineage: Eukaryota; Metazoa; Chordata; Lepidosauria; Squamata; Candoiidae
Product: small nucleolar RNA SNORD79
Exons: 1
Source: RefSeq, a predicted model, not a curated record